RNAcentral lists this ribosomal RNA (447 nucleotides) under uncultured bacterium. RNAcentral's name for it is "partial 16S ribosomal RNA". It matches the Rfam family "Bacterial small subunit ribosomal RNA", at positions 329 to 792 of the family's 1533-position model. The record is from RNAcentral.
GUCCAGACUCCUACGGGAGGCAGCAGUGGGGAAUAUUGCACAAUGGGGGAAACCCUGAUGCAGCAACGCCGCGUGAAGGAAGACGGUUUUCGGAUUGUAAACUUCUGUUCUCAGUGAAGAAGAAUGACGGUAGCUAAGGAGCAAGCCACGGCUAACUACGUGCCAGCAGCCGCGGUAAUACGUAGGGGGCAAGCGUUAUCCGGAUUUACUGGGUGUAAAGGGAGCGUAGACGGUAGAGCAAGUCUGAAGUGAAAGCCCGCGGCUCAACUGCGGGACUGCUUUGGAAACUGUUCAACUGGAGUGCUGGAGAGGUAAGCGGAAUUCCUAGUGUAGCGGUGAAAUGCGUAGAUAUUAGGAGGAACACCAGUGGCGAAGGCGGCUUACUGGACAGUAACUGACGUUGAGGCUCGAAAGCGUGGGGAGCAAACAGGAUUAGAUACCCUUGUA